Molecule: transfer RNA, 89 nt
Filed under: Armatimonadota bacterium
Lineage: Bacteria; Bacillati; Armatimonadota
Description: Armatimonadetes bacterium (groundwater metagenome) tRNA-Leu
Rfam family: tRNA
About the family: Transfer RNA (tRNA) molecules are approximately 80 nucleotides in length. Their secondary structure includes four short double-helical elements and three loops (D, anti-codon, and T loops). Further hydrogen bonds mediate the characteristic L-shaped molecular structure. tRNAs have two regions of fundamental functional importance: the anti-codon, which is responsible for specific mRNA codon recognition, and the 3' end, to which the tRNAs corresponding amino acid is attached (by aminoacyl-tRNA synthetases). tRNAs cope with the degeneracy of the genetic code in two manners: having more than one tRNA (with a specific anti-codon) for a particular amino acid; and 'wobble' base-pairing, i.e. permitting non-standard base-pairing at the 3rd anti-codon position.
Source: RNAcentral
GCCGGGCUGGCGGAACCGGCAGACGCGGAGGCCUCAAAAGCCUCUGGGCCGAAAGGCCCGUGUGGGUUCGACUCCCUCGCCCGGCACCA